GUAUGCAGUUGGAACAGCGCCCCUAACGGCAAAGGAAGGCAAACGAACCCAUUCGAACGAAUGAUUCGGCAGAUGUGAAGCGCUCAUUAACAGUCCCUUAAUUUGUAAGAAGCUAGGAUCCUACUUAAGUAUAUCUGUAUUUUAAAGGUCUGAACAAAAAAAAAAAACAUGGCCGACUUCGGUCAGCUGUUUAAUUUAAUUGGUUUUAAAUAUUUUAACACUUGACAUUCGAUUGAGAGUUACAGCUAGUGUGAAACUUUUAGAGUUAAAAACUCAAAACAAUCGGCGGGUCGUGAGAAAUAAUCGUGUGUUAGAUCUAGUGGAGUCAUCUGAUUAUGAAAAAAAUUUGUUUGCCUAUAUGAAGCCGCUACUCGUCUGUUCUGCACCGGUGGUAGUGGAUGAGGUAUACUGGCCUGAGCCGGACAGAAGCUGCUAUAGCAUUAUGCAAUGAGUUAAUGUAACAUGUGAUAAGACCAAAUUGAGAAGUCAAUCGAGACGGGGGUUUAUAUAAAGUUGGGGAUCGGCCCUAUUUCAAUGACCGAAUUACCUUAAAGUCCAAGAAAUGGCAACAUCGCGUGUUUUAACGGAGUUUUUGUGAUCGAGGCCCUAACAAAGAAUUUUAUCAAACGUUUAAAA
Molecule: long non-coding RNA, 636 nt
Organism: Bombyx mandarina (wild silkworm)
Lineage: Eukaryota; Metazoa; Arthropoda; Insecta; Lepidoptera; Bombycidae
Source: RefSeq, a predicted model, not a curated record